Molecule: ribosomal RNA, 468 nt
Filed under: uncultured bacterium
Lineage: Bacteria
Description: partial 16S ribosomal RNA
Rfam family: Bacterial small subunit ribosomal RNA
Source: RNAcentral
GACGAACGCUGGCGGCGUGCUUAACACAUGCAAGUCGAACGGAAAGGCCCUGCUUUUGUGGGGUGCUCGAGUGGCGAACGGGUGAGUAACACGUGAGUAACCUGCCCUUGACUUUGGGAUAACUUCAGGAAACUGGGGCUAAUACCGGAUAGGCGCUCCUGCUGCAUGGUGGGGGUUGGAAAGUUUCGGCGGUUGGGGUUGGACUCGCGGCUUAUCAGCUUGUUGGUGGGGUAGUGGCUUACCAAGGCUUUGACGGGUAGCCGGCCUGAGAGGGUGACCGGCCACAUUGGGACUGAGAUACGGCCCAGACUCCUACGGGAGGCAGCAGUGGGGAAUAUUGCACAAUGGGCGGAAGCCUGAUGCAGCAACGCCGCGUGCGGGAUGACGGCCUUCGGGUUGUAAACCGCUUUCGCCUGUGACGAAGCGUGAGUGACGGUAGUGGGUAAAGAAGCACCGGCUAACUACGUG